GAGGAAUAAGCAUCGGCUAACUCCGUGCCAGCAGCCGCGGUAAUACGGGGGAUGCAAGCGUUAUCCGGAAUCAUUGGGCGUAAAGCGCCUGUAGGUUGUUUAAUAAGUCUGUUGUUAAAGACUAGGGCUCAACCCUAGAAAAGCAAUGGAAACUAUUAGACUUGAGUAUGGCAGGGGUAGAGGGAAUUUCUAGUGUAGCGGUGAAAUGCGUAGAUAUUAGAAAGAACACCGGUGGCGAAAGCGCUCUACUGGACCAUUACUGACACUCAGAGGCGAAAGCUAGGGUAGCAAAAGGGAUUAGAUACCCCUGUAGUCCUAGCCGUAAACGAUGGAUACUAGAUGUUGUGCUUUCCGUACAGUAUCGUAGCUAACGCGUUAAGUAUCCCGCCUGGGGAGUACGCUCGCAAGGGUGAAACUCAAAGGAAUUGACGGGGGCCCGCACAAGCGGUGGAGCAUGUGGUUUAAUUCGAUGCAACGCGAAGAACCUUACCAGGACUUGACAUACUACAAAUUCUUUAGAGAUAGAGAAGUGCCUUCGGGAAUGUAGAUACAGGUGGUGCAUGGCUGUCGUCAGCUCGUGUCGUGAGAUGUUGGGUUAAGUCCCGCAACGAGCGCAACCCUUAUUUUUAGUUACCAAUUCGUUGGGUUCUCUAGAAAGACUGCCGGUGACAAACCGGAGGAAGGUGAGGAUGACGUCAAGUCAGCAUGCCCCUUAUGUCCUGGGCUACACACGUGCUACAAUGGUUAAGACAAAGAGUCGCGAGCUCGCAAGAGUCAGCUAAUCUCAUAAACUUAGCCUAAGUUCAGAUUGUAGGCUGCAACUCGCCUGCAUGAAG
This 836-nucleotide ribosomal RNA is filed under the name Haptophyta environmental samples. RNAcentral's name for it is "bacterial SSU rRNA". It matches the Rfam family "Bacterial small subunit ribosomal RNA", at positions 481 to 1325 of the family's 1533-position model. Lineage: Eukaryota; Haptophyta. The record is from RNAcentral.